This 364-nucleotide transfer-messenger RNA is filed under the name uncultured Olsenella sp. It matches the Rfam family "transfer-messenger RNA". Rfam says of the family: Bacterial tmRNA, also known as 10Sa RNA or SsrA, is named for its dual tRNA and mRNA-like properties. Its role is to liberate the mRNA from a stalled ribosome. Lineage: Bacteria; Bacillati; Actinomycetota; Coriobacteriia; Coriobacteriales; Atopobiaceae. The record is from RNAcentral.
GGGGGCGACUGGUUUCGACAGGGUAGUGCUGAGGUGGGCAGCAAGCCGUGGUCUCCUCGCCACGUAAAACAGGGGUUCCGUCAAAUUUAAUUGACAACAACAACUCUUUUGAGGCUAUGCCUCUCGCCGCAUAAGAUAAGUCGGCGCGUCUAAGCGGGGAUUGCUCCCGCACCCGUGGUGACGUCAUUUUUGGGAGAUGCACCUUCGGACGUGGUUGGUAUGCCGAAGGCUAAGCUCGAACCAACUGGGACGCCGAGCGCGUGUCGCAGUGUGCGACGCGUCCGAGAUUCAAUCUGCGACUGAGCUUGGAGACACCUGCCAGGGUUCUGCUUUGGACCGGAGUUCGAUUCUCCGCGCCUCCACC